This 554-nucleotide ribosomal RNA is filed under the name Bacillus sp. TSSAS2-22. RNAcentral's name for it is "bacterial SSU rRNA". It matches the Rfam family "Bacterial small subunit ribosomal RNA", at positions 914 to 1473 of the family's 1533-position model. Lineage: Bacteria; Bacillati; Bacillota; Bacilli; Caryophanales; Bacillaceae. The record is from RNAcentral.
CGGUGGCCCGCACAAGCGGGGAGCUAGUGUAUAAUUUAAAGCAAUGCGAAGAACCUUACCAGGUCUUACAUCCUCUGAAAACCCUAGAGAUAGGUUUUUUCCUUCGGGAGCAGAGUGACAGGUGGUGCAUGGUUGUCGUCAGCUCGUGUCGUGAGAUGUUGGGUUAAGUCCCGCAACGAGCGCAACCCUUGAUCUUAGUUGCCAUCAUUAAGUUGGGCACUUUAAGGUGACUGCCGGUGACAAACCGGAGGAAGGUGGGGAUGACGUCAAAUCAUCAUGCCCCUUAUGACCUGGGCUACACACGUGCUACAAUGGACGGUACAAAGAGCUGCAAGACCGCGAGGUGGAGCUAAUCUCAUAAAACCGUUCUCAGUUCGGAUUGUAGGCUGCAACUCGCCUACAUGAAGCUGGAAUCGCUAGUAAUCGCGGAUCAGCAUGCCGCGGUGAAUACGUUCCCGGGCCUUGUACACACCGCCCGUCACACCACGAGAGUUUGUAACACCCGAAGUCGGUGGGGUAACCUUUAUGGAGCCAGCCGCCUAAGGUGACAGAUG